RNAcentral lists this small RNA (2015 nucleotides) under Pongo abelii (Sumatran orangutan). RNAcentral's name for it is "retained intron". The record is from RNAcentral. Lineage: Eukaryota; Metazoa; Chordata; Mammalia; Primates; Hominidae.
AGUACAAGUGAGUUCCCCCAAGGGGUCGGCCGCGCCUCUUCCUGUCCCCGCCCUGCCGGCUGCCCCAGGCCAGUGGAGUGGCAGCCCCAGAACUGGGACCACCGGGGGCGGUGAGGCGGCUUGGCACUGGGAGCUGCAUCUGAGGCUUAGUCCCUGAGUUCUCCGCCUGCCCAGACUAGCUGCACCUCCUCAUUCCCUGCGCCCCCUUCCUCUCCGGAAGCCCCCCAGGAUGGUGAGGUGGUUUCACCGAGACCUCAGUGGGCUGGAUGCAGAGACCCUGCUCAAGGGCCGAGGUGUCCAUGGUAGCUUCCUGGCUCGGCCCAGUCGCAAGAACCAGGGUGACUUCUCGCUCUCCGUCAGGUAGGUGGGCCCCCCCAACCCCGGGUGUUUUGGCCACUCUCUUGUGCCGUCCAGGCCCUGAACCACUCAUUCCUGGUUCCCCGUGGCAGUGCUGACUCCCCCGUCUGUUCCCUGGCCCCAACCCCCGCACUCUCCAUCCCUGUCUGUACCCACCCAUGCCCAUGUGUGCCCCCACCCAGGACCUCAGCCGAUCCCUGCCCUCCUGCCUCUACUCCUGCACCGACUGGCCUCACCGCCUGGUGCCCUGCAGGGUAGGGGAUCAGGUGACCCAUAUUCGGAUCCAGAACUCAGGGGAUUUCUAUGACCUGUAUGGAGGGGAGAAGUUCGCAACACUGACAGAGCUGGUGGAGUACUACACUCAGCAGCAGGGCGUCCUGCAGGACCGCGAUGGCACCAUCAUCCACCUCAAGUACCCGCUGAACUGCUCCGAUCCCACUAGUGAGAGGUGAGGGCUCCACACCCCCGCCACUCCCAAGCAGGGACGAGCCGGCUCCCACCCUGAGUGGCCAGGGAGGCAGGGAGCCUGGCAGCUGGCACUGCCUACCCUCCAUCCCCUCCCCUCCCUGCACCGGCUGGGGCUCUCAGUGUCCCUCCUCCAUGCUGUCCUGCGGCCUGGUGUCUCAGAGCCUAACCUACCACCCUUUCCAUCUACCCCCCGAGGAAGCCACAGAAAGCUGCCUUGCCCUACUCCAGGGGCCCUGGCUGCUGCAACCCAGGUCCCACUAGAGACAGGGAGGCCACUGCUGGUGGCCAGCAUGUUGUGCAGGCCAGCUGUGUUGUUAGAAAGCUCUUCUUCCUCUGGAAGCGAGCUUGCCUUCCUCCGUCUGCCCCUCACCCCAGCACAUGUUAGGACAGUGAGGAGUUGACAGUGGGGUGAAGAUGGGGAUGAAUGCUUGCCAGGACACUUGAUGCCUUGUCCCAGCUGCCCAGUGGGGAUGGGUCUGUCCUGUGGGGUCAAACAGGUCUCUGGCCCAGACAGAGAUCACUGAGAGCAGGAUGUGAAGUGUUCACCUGUGUGAAGGGUCUCACGCUGUCCCCGGCACAGAGUAAUACUCCAGGCAUUUCCUUCCUGUGGUCUCCCAAAGGCACGGGCUGGGGGCUGGGGGCUCUGAACGCUCCUCAGGACACCAUGGCUCCUUUCAGCAGCCGCAUCUCAAUGCCAGAUCCUCUAGAGUAAAGGGCAGCGGAAUAACGCUAUGGGGUUUUCACAUGGACCCCUGGGCCGAGCCGAUUUGCCCUUGCCCUGCAUUCGUGGAUCGGUUAUUGAAAUGAUUGGGAAACUUGCUUCUGCCAGCUUGCAGCCUCUCUGAGAUUCGGGCCUCCAAACUGCAUCAAUAUUUUUGGUCAAGUCACUGAUUGAAACUUAGAGCUGGAUUCGGUCACGGUACAGCCCUGUGGCCCACCUGGGAGGCCUCCUUUCCUUGAUCUGCCUCCUUCAAGGCCGUCCUUCUCUCUGUGAGCCUCACAUGGCUGGCUCCGUGUCUGCCCCCCUGCUCUUCCUCUUCCCCACCGCAACACUCAGGGGGCUUUUGCCACUGAGACCCUCUAAAGCUCACGUCCUCUCUUUCUCCUUGCCUCAAGCCAGGAGAGGAGGACGGGCUGACCAGUGCCUGGAGUUGGAAGAGAGGAGCAGGGCCCCAGGAGGCCCCUGCAGA